GGUGGGGUGGCCGAGUGGUUGAAGGCGCCGGUCUUGAAAACCGGUAACCCAAAAGGUUCGCGGGUUCGAAUCCCGCCCCCACCG
RNAcentral lists this transfer RNA (84 nucleotides) under Candidatus Uhrbacteria bacterium. RNAcentral describes it as "tRNA-Ser". It matches the Rfam family "tRNA". From Rfam's summary of the family: Transfer RNA (tRNA) molecules are approximately 80 nucleotides in length. Their secondary structure includes four short double-helical elements and three loops (D, anti-codon, and T loops). Lineage: Bacteria; Candidatus Uhriibacteriota. The record is from RNAcentral.